AUACGGAGGGUGCAAGCGUUAUCCGGAUUCAUUGGGUUUAAAGGGUGCGCAGGCGGAUAAUUAAGUCAGUGGUGAAAUCCCGGGGCUCAACCCCGGAACUGCCAUUGAUACUGAUAAUCUGGAAUACGGUUGAAGUGGGCGGAAUGUAGCAUGUAGCGGUGAAAUGCAUAGAGAUGCUACAGAACACCGAUCGCGAAGGCAGCUCACUAAACCGAUAUUGACGCUCAGGCACGAAAGCGUGGGGAGCGAACAGGAUUAGAAACCCUAGUAGUCC
RNAcentral lists this ribosomal RNA (274 nucleotides) under uncultured bacterium. RNAcentral's name for it is "partial 16S ribosomal RNA". It matches the Rfam family "Bacterial small subunit ribosomal RNA", at positions 523 to 796 of the family's 1533-position model. The record is from RNAcentral.